UGGUAACACUGGUGUGUUAUGGUUACACUCGUGUGUUAUGGUAACUCUGGUGUGUUAUGGUAACUCUGGUGUGUUAUGGUCACACUCGCGUGUUAUGGUAACAGUGGUGUGUUAUUGUGACACUGGUGUGUUAUUGUAACUCUGGUGUGUUAUGGUAACACUGGUGUGUUAUGGUAGCACUGGUGUGUUAUGGUAACUGUGAGGGAAAAGUAGGUGUAAGUGGGGUUAAGGUUGUUCGGGCAACCAGGAAACAUUAGUUACGUCGCGUGCACCCCCCCCCCCUCCUCUCUGGCGGGCUGGGGCGAAACUAAUUCCUGGUGUCCGAUUUGUUAGUUUCUACUCCUGGUAAUAUUGACCUUACCUGGUGUGGGUUGAAGUUUGGAGAGUCACUUCACCUCCACUCUUCUCCUAAUCAGCUCUGUUCCUGGCGUGGUCUUCCAGGAUAGACGCCAGAUAAAGGAGCAAGACGUGUUAAUAAUACUUAUUAACAAUAUUCUACUACUACCGGCCCUUACCUAUUCUACUUGUGCUCCAUCCAAGUGGUAGGAGAUUCCAGAACAUCGGAUUGUUACCAUCUGCCCCAGGAUAACCCACAUAAAUAACAUCAGAGGAACUAUCCAGGGCCAUACCUACUCCUGCCCAACUAAAAGAAACUGAAGGCCAAUUUUUUUUAUUAUAUUUAAAUUUUAAGUAAAAUUCUCAAAAAUCA
Molecule: non-coding RNA, 709 nt
Organism: Cherax quadricarinatus
Lineage: Eukaryota; Metazoa; Arthropoda; Malacostraca; Decapoda; Parastacidae
Source: RefSeq, a predicted model, not a curated record